UAGAGCACUGUCAUGGUUGUGGGGUCCAUUGCGGAUUACUACGCCAUAGCAAACUCCGAAUACCGAAGAGUGCAAUCACGGGAGACAGACAUCGGGUGCUAACGUCCGGUGUCAAGAGGGAAACAACCCAGACCGCCAGCUAAGGUCCCCAAAUAUUGCUAAGUGGGAAACGAAGUGGGAAGGCUAAAACAGUCAGGAGGUUGGCUUAGAAGCAGCCAUCCUUUAAAGAAAGCGUAAUAGCUCACUGAUCGAGUCGUCCUGCGCGGAAGAUGUAACGGGGCUAAGCAAUAUACCGAAGCUGCGGAUGCAUAUUUAUAUGCAUGGUAGGAGAGCGUUCCGUAAGCCUGCGAAGGUGCACUGGAAAGUGUGCUGGAGGUAUCGGAAGUGCGAAUGCUGACAUGAGUAGCGAUAAAGGGGGUGAAAGGCCCCCUCGCCGUAAGCCCAAGGUUUCCUACGCAACGUUCAUCGGCGUAGGGUGAGUCGGCCCCUAAGGCGAGGCAGAAAUGCGUAGCUGAUGGGAAGCAGGUUAAUAUUCCUGCACCAUUGUUGAAUGCGAUGGGGGGACGGAUCGCGGAAGGUUGUCCGGGUGUUGGAAGUCCCGGUCCUUGCAUUGGAGAAGGCGCUUUGGCAAAUCCGGGCGCGUAAUUCAAGGGUGUGAGGCCAGUCACUUCGGUGACGAAGCAAUCGGAAGUGGUUCCAGGAAAAGCCUCUAAGCUUCAGUUCAACAAGACCGUACCGCAAACCGACACAGGUGGGCGAGAUGAGUAUUCUAAGGCGCUUGAGAGAACUCGGGAGAAGGAACUCGGCAAAUUGGUACCGUAACUUCGGGAUAAGGUACGCCCCUGUAGCUUGAUGCGCCUGCGCGCAAAGGGUGAAGGGGUUGCAAUAAACUGGUGGCUGCGACUGUUUAAUAAAAACACAGCACUCUGCAAACACGAAAGUGGACGUAUAGGGUGUGACGCCUGCCCGGUGCCGGAAGAUUAAAUGAUGGGGUGCAAGCUCCUGAUUGAAGUCCCGGUAAACGGCGGCCGUAACUAUAACGGUCCUAAGGUAGCGAAAUUCCUUGUCGGGUAAGUUCCGACCUGCACGAAUGGCGUAACGAUGGCCACACUGUCUCCUCCCGAGACUCAGCGAAGUUGAAGUGUUUGUGAUGAUGCAAUCUCCCCGCGGCUAGACGGAAAGACCCCAUGAACCUUUACUGUAGCUUUGCAUUGGACUUUGAACCGGUCUGUGUAGGAUAGGUGGGAGGCUUUGAAGCGUGAACGCCAGUUUGCGUGGAGCCAUCCUUGAAAUACCACCCUGAUCUGUUUGAGGUUCUAACCCUGGUCCGUGAAUCCGGACCGGGGACAGUGCAUGGUAGGCAGUUUGACUGGGGCGGUCUCCUCCCAAAGUGUAACGGAGGAGUACGAAGGUACGCUAGGUACGGUCGGAAAUCGUGCUGAUAGUGCAAUGGCAUAAGCGUGCUUGACUGCGAGACCGACAAGUCGAGCAGGUGCGAAAGCAGGUCAUAGUGAUCCGGUGGUUCUGUAUGGAAGGGCCAUCGCUCAACGGAUAAAAGGUACUCUGGGGAUAACAGGCUGAUACCGCCCAAGAGUUCAUAUCGACGGCGGUGUUUGGCACCUCGAUGUCGGCUCAUCUCAUCCUGGGGCUGUAGCCGGUCCCAAGGGUAUGGCUGUUCGCCAUUUAAAGAGGUACGUGAGCUGGGUUUAAAACGUCGUGAGACAGUUUGGUCCCUAUCUGCCGUGGGCGCUGGAUAUUUGAAGGGGGCUGCUCCUAGUACGAGAGGACCGGAGUGGACGAACCUCUGGUGUACCGGUUGUCACGCCAGUGGCAUCGCCGGGUAGCUAUGUUCGGAAGAGAUAACCGCUGAAAGCAUCUAAGCGGGAAACUCGCCUUAAGAUGAGAUAUCCCCGGGGCUUCGAGCCCCUUGAAGGGUCGUUCAAGACCAGGACGUUGAUAGGUCAGGUGUGUAAGCGCAGUAAUGCGUUGAGCUAACUGAUACUAAUUGCCCGUAAGGCUUGAUCCU
Molecule: ribosomal RNA, 2026 nt
Filed under: Paraburkholderia sediminicola
Lineage: Bacteria; Pseudomonadati; Pseudomonadota; Betaproteobacteria; Burkholderiales; Burkholderiaceae
Description: bacterial LSU rRNA
Rfam family: Bacterial large subunit ribosomal RNA
Source: RNAcentral